GCUGUUUUAGUUUUUUUUUAAAAAUAUCUGAUUUGUAAUUAGGAGAAUUUUUCAGUU
Molecule: transfer RNA, 57 nt
Filed under: Mansonella sp. 'DEUX'
Lineage: Eukaryota; Metazoa; Nematoda; Chromadorea; Rhabditida; Onchocercidae
Description: tRNA-Thr
Source: RNAcentral